Musa acuminata AAA Group (dessert banana) is the source of this 1066-nucleotide long non-coding RNA. RefSeq lists it as uncharacterized. The transcript has 2 exons. The record is from RefSeq and is a predicted model, not a curated record. NCBI's taxonomy places the organism in Eukaryota, Viridiplantae, Streptophyta, Magnoliopsida, Zingiberales, Musaceae.
UCUACGUGUCAAUAAACGAUUCGCCAGGGGAUCAUGAGUAUUACGUUUACUCCGUCUUUCUUCUGCCCAAAAUGGAGAGCAGCCGUCGGUUUCUUUCGCUUGCGGUUCCUUCGACGAGGGUUUGGAUGCAGGGGAUCCCGAUGACUGGAAGCGAUCGCGUCGAUCAGGGUUAGCGCAAGGUCGAGGGGGGUUUCCUCCGUCUUCGUGUCUUCGAUCUCGGGGAUGUCGACGACAACGAGGCCUCCGAGCCCGGGCCGAGGCGCCAGCAUCGACCGGACCCCUCUCCUUGGCGUGGCUCAUCGGUCCGGGUGGAGUGCCAGCCUCCGUGGCUCCGCCCGGUUCCUACGCCGGACGAGCGGCCGGCGGAUGAUAAGGGCGCCAUCGGUGAUGGUGCGGGAGAUGGCCGCGGAGCAUCUGGAGCAGCGCCAGACAUCCUGUGGAACCUGACCUUCAUAGGCGUUGUUAUUGGGGUGCUGAUCUUGAGCUGGCAUGAGACACCGUCGAUGCCUUUUCGACUGUGGAUCUUUGGGUACGUGCUCCAGUGCGUGCUGCAUAUGGUAUGUGUUUGCGUGGGAUACCGGCGAAGGCACCCUCCCGAGGGUGCUGUUGUGGACGUGGAAGUGGGAGGAGGUCGGGCUCAAAUUCACCGAGGGCGGUGGAAGAAUCUGAUGACGAUGAGCAGAACCAAGACGAUGAUAGGACUAGGAAGGUGCAUCUGAACAAGAUAUACACCAACUUCCAAAAUACAAAUUUCAUAAGGUUGGAGAUUCUGAAAAACUCGAGAUGUCAGGAUCUUCUGGUGGAAUCAUGACGGAGUGUGGCAGUGAUUCACUAGUGCAGCAUGUUCUUUUAGCAGAGGAUGCUAUAAGUUCUAUAGUUUCCUGUUAAGUUUUACAUUUUUUUUACUUCCUUUUCGCUUUGUGGUUCAUUACAUGUCGUUAUGCUAAAUUAUGAUCUUUAAAUUUAGUCUUGAUCAGCAUCUGCUUUCCUGUCCUCGUCUGUUUAAUGCACUUGUAUACCCCCACUGUCAUGGUCUUGAAGAAAAUUAAUUCAUUAGAUUUUUAUA